Molecule: ribosomal RNA, 429 nt
Filed under: Bacteroidota bacterium
Lineage: Bacteria; Pseudomonadati; Bacteroidota
Description: Bacteroidetes bacterium partial 16S ribosomal RNA
Rfam family: Bacterial small subunit ribosomal RNA
Source: RNAcentral
UAGGGAAUCUUCCGCAAUGGACGCAAGUCUGACGGAGCAACGCCGCGUGAGUGAAGACGGAUUUCGGUUUGUAAAACCUUGUUGUUAGAGAAGAACAGCGCAUAGUGUAACUGUUAUGCGUGUGACGGUAUCUAACCAGAAAGCCACGGCUAACUACGUGCCAGCAGCCGCGGUAAUACGUAGGUGGCAAGCGUUGUCCGGAUUUAUUGGGCGUAAAGCGAGCGCAGGCGGUCAAUUAAGUCUGAUGUGAAAGCCCCCGGCUCAACCGGGGAGGGUCAUUGGAAACUGGUUGACUUGAGUGCAGAAGAGGAGAGUGGAAUUCCAUGUGUAGCGGUGAAAUGCGUAGAUAUAUGGAGGAACACCAGUGGCGAAGGCGACUCUCUGGUCUGUAACUGACGCUGAGGCUCGAAAGCGUGGGUAGCAAACAGG